AGUAAGAGCUGUCACAUGUUCACCACUAGAAGACCCUCAAAACCUCAACAUCUCCUGUGAAACUCAUCAAAGAAGGUUACAUGGAAGAACAAGUACCAAGCAUGCGAAGCAGGGUUUCAAAAACCAGGUGCCUGUAACACAAAACUGGCUUAGACUUGUUCUGAAUCAAGGAGAGGAAAAUGGAGUGACUGGAACUCUACAUGGAGCUGGUAGACUUGCCAAAUUGAGUGACAGACUGCACGUUUGAAUACGGUAAAAAUGAAAAGAAAAAAGAAAGCUUUACAUUUUUGCAGAUGGUUCCAAUUUUCUUCUCCGAAUGUAUUUUUUCUGCUCCGUUCUGGUCUUUCUUCCUUGUCUAAAAGAUGAUUCUAGAACAAAAUGCGUUUUGCUUCAUGAAGGUUUCUCACCAGUUUUCUGUUAGGAAGACUG
This 429-nucleotide long non-coding RNA is filed under the name Struthio camelus australis. Its description in RNAcentral is "lncRNA (ENSSCUG00000017056.1)". The record is from RNAcentral. Lineage: Eukaryota; Metazoa; Chordata; Aves; Struthioniformes; Struthionidae.